ACAAUUUUGUUAGGCUAGGGUAUUCAAGGUACGUGCAUUAGGCCCUCGUUUCUUUUACUUAAGUUUUUUUAGAUGUCUCUCAUUUAGUUUGAUGGUGUGCAUGGAUUGUUUGAUGUCACUUGGGUUCAGGGUUGCUAUAUUGGGAAAAAAAGGAUGACGCAUGACACAAUUUAGGUGUACAUUUGUUUCAUAGAUUAGAUAGAGUUGUAUAUUGGUGAUGCGUUAUGACUGGUUUGUUUCAUAGAAUAGGGCGCACCUCUUCGUCAGCCAUCCUUUGGUGCUUCUCACGUUGUCUUUUUUGUUCUUAUCGAUGCUGCACAGAAGCUGCUGACCUUUCUCUGUUUUCUCUCUUGGUUGGAUUUACAGAUCAGGACACACAUCAUGGUGAGCUCCUUGGUCAUCAGCUGAUCCAUCACCGAGGAUGUGUUGCCAGGAAUAUAAGUCGCCAUCAUGAGACCUGGCUUCUCCCCCAGCCUUCUCUUCUUGUUGACAAGGCUCGACACUGCGCCUCCUUGCGACCCCUGUGGCAAGGCACGGCGCUGCUACUCCCCUAGGACUCAUCUAGAUGGUUUUUUCCCUAAAUUUUUCACAUCCUUCAGAAAAACUUUUCUUACUGAAUUUUUUACCGUUUGUUGGUAACUGAUGUUUUAAAGUUGAAGCAGCCAAUGUUUUACAGAUCAAUAUGUACCCUCUGUACUGAAUAAAUGGAUGUCUCAAUAGAUGGAUUGGGUCAAAGUAUGCAUAUAUACCACACUUGAGGUAUCUUGUCCUGAGCCAAUGGAGACAAGCAACACCAUGCUGCUGCUAUAUCUUAAUUGUCUUUCUUUUCUUUCACAAUAGUGAUGUACUUUUUAUACGUUAGGCAGUGGUAACCUUCCUUCUUUUGAUGAUGUUAUACUACUUAGUUUUUGGCAUACCCAAUGUACCAGCUUACUUCUGUUUCACUUAUUUUGCACUUA
Triticum dicoccoides is the source of this 959-nucleotide long non-coding RNA. RefSeq lists it as uncharacterized. Lineage: Eukaryota; Viridiplantae; Streptophyta; Magnoliopsida; Poales; Poaceae. The transcript is spliced from 3 exons. The record is from RefSeq and is a predicted model, not a curated record.